GACGUAGGGCGCGAGCGUUGUCCGGAUUUAUUGGGCGUAAAGCGCACGUAGUCGGCUUUGCAAGUCGGGUGUGAAAUCCCCGGGCUCAACCUGGGAACUGCAUCCGAGACUGCAUUGCUAGAGUAUGGGAGAGGGAAGCGGAAUUUCUGGUGUAGCAGUGAAAUGCGUAGAUAUCAGAAGGAACAUCAGUGGCGAAGGCGGCUUCCUGGACCAAUACUGACGAUCAGGUGCGAAAGCGUGGGGAGCAAACAGG
Molecule: ribosomal RNA, 253 nt
Filed under: uncultured bacterium
Lineage: Bacteria
Description: partial 16S ribosomal RNA
Rfam family: Bacterial small subunit ribosomal RNA
Source: RNAcentral